This is a long non-coding RNA of Poecilia reticulata (guppy), 928 nucleotides long. RefSeq lists it as uncharacterized. Lineage: Eukaryota; Metazoa; Chordata; Actinopteri; Cyprinodontiformes; Poeciliidae. The record is from RefSeq and is a predicted model, not a curated record.
CCUGCUUCAGUCUGAAUGAGACACUGACGUGUCAUUUUCACAUUUAUGAAGUUUUAAAUGUUAAUCCAUCUUGGAGUGAAUCACUUCCUGUAUCCUCCAUUUUGAUUUAAAGAAGCGUUACAGAGGGAGAGAGCGCCACCUGUCUGCGUCAGUUCAGGAGUUUUUAGCUGUUUGACUGUUAAAAAGUUUUCUGUUCUUUAGUCAAGAAUAUUCAUAAUUUGUCAUCGUGCCGGAUAAGCGCUCCAUUAAAGUAUUCAUGUUGCUCAUACGGGAACUGAACAGGAAGUGAAAUGUCUCCGAGAUAUUUUCUUUAUAAGCCACGCCCACCACCUUCUGACCAAUCGCAGCUCGCCUCCCAGAGCUCUGUACUCGACAGUCUGACCAAUCACAGCUCGCCGCUCAGAGCGGACCUUCUGUUAGCUCAGUACCGGAGGGAACGGCUUAGCUGUAGCUUAGCUUCUUGUAGUAGCAGUUUCAGAAGUUCUCCUCCUCCAUUUUGCGAACUUUGAACUCGGUGAAUCUCGCGUCCAGCACAGUUUUCUUCCCGGGAAUUAAGGUUUUGUACGGACCGCUGCCUGAAGGAUUCGGCUGCAACGCUGAGCCUGUGCAGGCGUUGAUGUGCCGAGUGGAGCUGAAAGCUGCAUCCACUUGGUUUUCUCUCACCGACCUUGUCAGGAUGGAAGAAAGCAGAUAAAAUGUGCUUUUUUUCUUGCCUAAGCUUGAUUUACAGCUCGGUGAACUGCUCCAACAUUGCUGGAAGUUGCAGGAAAUGAGAUAUAUUUCAUUUCAUUUGGUUGCAUCACCGUUGCUGCUGCUUGUGAUGACAAUCUGCACAACCAAGAACAAUAAUCCCCUCUGGAUUUAGAUUUCCGUCUCAUUUAGAGCCGAAAAUGCAGCUUGAAAGUAAAACGAGGCGCUUCAACUCAAA